This 324-nucleotide ribosomal RNA is filed under the name uncultured eukaryote. RNAcentral's name for it is "partial 18S ribosomal RNA". It matches the Rfam family "Eukaryotic small subunit ribosomal RNA", at positions 1470 to 1796 of the family's 1831-position model. The record is from RNAcentral.
CCCUUAGACGUUCUGGGCCGCACGCGCGCUACACUGACCAGUGCAACAAGCAUCCGUCCUUGGCCGACAGGCUCGGGCAAUCUUUGAACGCUGGUCGUGAUGGGGAUAGACUUUUGCAAUUUUUGGUCUUCAACGAGGAAUUCCUAGUAAACGCAAGUCAUCAGCUUGCAUUGAUUACGUCCCUGCCCUUUGUACACACCGCCCGUCGCACCUACCGAUUGAAUGGUCCGGUGAAAUCUCCGGACUGGCGUGAGUCGGAGCAAUCUGACAAACGCCGGAAAGUUGAUUAAACCUUACCAUUUAGAGGAAGGUAAAGUCGUAACA